RNAcentral lists this ribosomal RNA (266 nucleotides) under uncultured archaeon. RNAcentral describes it as "partial 16S ribosomal RNA". It matches the Rfam family "Archaeal small subunit ribosomal RNA", at positions 719 to 982 of the family's 1478-position model. The record is from RNAcentral.
ACACGUCUACAUUAGAUACCCGCGUAGUCCUAGCCGUAAACGAUACUCGCUAGGUGUCGGCCACGGUGCGACCGUUGUCGGUGCCGUAGGGAAGCCGUGAAGCGAGCCACCUGGGAAGUACGGCCGCAAGGCUGUAAAUUUAAAGGAAUUGGCGGGGGAGCACAACAACGGGUGGAGCUUGCGGUUUAAUUGGAUUCAACGCCGGAAAUCUUACCGGGACCGACAGCAACAUGAAGGCCAAGCUGAAGACUUUGCCGGAUUAGCUG